GGCUAACGCUGGCGGCGUGUCUUAGCCAUGCAAGUCGAGCGGACUUAUGGGGUAACUUAUAAGUCAGCGGCGGACGGCGGAGUAACACGUAGCUAACCUACCCUCUGGACGGGGAUAACCUACCGAAAGGUGGGCUAAUACCCGAUGUAGUCAUCCUGUAUAGGGGUGAUGAAAGGUGGGCUUCUGUUUACAAGCUCAUGCUGGAGGAGGGGGCUGCGGCCUAUCAGGUAGUUGGUAGGGUAAUAGCCUACCAAGCCGAUGACGGGUAGCCGGCCUGAGAGGGUGACCGGCCCGAGGGGCACUGAGAUACGGGUCCCACUCCUACGGGAGGCAGCAGGCUAGAAAUUUGGGCAAUGGGGGAAACCCUGACCCAGUGACGCCGCGUGCAGGAAGGAGCCCUUCGGGGUGUAAACUGCUGUCGUGUAGGGAGAAGGGUACUAAGGUGAACAAUCUUAGUACUUGACGGUACUACAGGAGGAAGCCCAGGCUAACCUCGUGCCAGCAGGCGCGGUAAUAUAGCGUACU
RNAcentral lists this ribosomal RNA (525 nucleotides) under uncultured bacterium. RNAcentral describes it as "bacterial SSU rRNA". It matches the Rfam family "Bacterial small subunit ribosomal RNA", at positions 28 to 531 of the family's 1533-position model. The record is from RNAcentral.